This 253-nucleotide ribosomal RNA is filed under the name uncultured bacterium. RNAcentral describes it as "partial 16S ribosomal RNA". It matches the Rfam family "Bacterial small subunit ribosomal RNA", at positions 524 to 776 of the family's 1533-position model. The record is from RNAcentral.
UACGGAGGGUGCAAGCGUUAUCCGGAUUCACUGGGUUUAAAGGGUGCGUAGGUGGGUCUGUAAGUCCGUGGUGAAAUCUCUGAGCUUAACUCGGAAACUGCCAUGGAUACUAUAGAUCUUGAAUACCGUGGAGGAUAGCGGAAUAUGUCAUGUAGCGGUGAAAUGCUUAGAUAUGACAUAGAACACCAAUUGCGAAGGCAGCUGUCUACCCGAAUAUUGACACUGAGGCACGAAAGCGUGGGGAUCAAACAGG